Molecule: ribosomal RNA, 249 nt
Filed under: Candidatus Phytoplasma gossypii
Lineage: Bacteria; Bacillati; Mycoplasmatota; Mollicutes; Acholeplasmatales; Acholeplasmataceae
Description: partial 16S ribosomal RNA
Rfam family: Bacterial small subunit ribosomal RNA
Source: RNAcentral
CGAUGAUAUAUUACAAUAUUUAACAAAAAUGAGCAAUAAUCCGAUAAUACAACAACAACAAAACAAGGAAUUGCUCGAUCAAUGCACUAAUUUAUUAAACGAAUACAACCAAAUCAAAAAAGGUGCCAGCAGCCGCGGUAAGACAUAAGGGGCAAGUGUUAUCCGGAAUUAUUGGGCGUAAAGGGUGCGUAGGCGGUCUAGUAAGUCAGUGGUGUAAUGGCAACGCUCAACGUUGUCCGGCUAUUGAAA